AACGAACGCUGGCGGCAGGCCUAACACAUGCAAGUCGAGCGAGACCUUCGGGUCUAGCGGCGGACGGGUUAGUAACGCGUGGGAACGUGCCCUUCUCUGCGGAAUAGCCACUGGAAACGGUGAGUAAUACCGUAUACGCCCUUUGGGGGAAAGAUUUAUCGGAGAAGGAUCGGCCCGCGUUAGAUUAGAUAGUUGGUGGGGUAACGGCCUACCAAGUCUACGAUCUAUAGCUGGUUUUAGAGGAUGAUCAGCAACACUGGGACUGAGACACGGCCCAGACUCCUACGGGAGGCUGCAGUCACGAAUCUUCCACAAUGGCCGAAAGGCUGAUGGAGCAAUGCCGCGUGUGUGAUGAAGGUCUUAGGAUCGUAAAGCACUUUCGCCAGGGAUGAUAAUGACAGUACCUGGUAAAGAAACCCCGGCUAACUCCG
RNAcentral lists this ribosomal RNA (431 nucleotides) under uncultured Sulfitobacter sp. Its description in RNAcentral is "bacterial SSU rRNA". It matches the Rfam family "Bacterial small subunit ribosomal RNA", at positions 29 to 505 of the family's 1533-position model. The record is from RNAcentral. Lineage: Bacteria; Pseudomonadati; Pseudomonadota; Alphaproteobacteria; Rhodobacterales; Roseobacteraceae.